CCUGGCGGCCGUAGCGCGGUGGUCCCACCUGACCCCAUGCCGAACUCAGAAGUGAAACGCCGUAGCGCCGAUGGUAGUGUGGGGUCUCCCCAUGCGAGAGUAGGGAACUGCCAGCA
RNAcentral lists this ribosomal RNA (116 nucleotides) under Escherichia coli. Lineage: Bacteria; Pseudomonadati; Pseudomonadota; Gammaproteobacteria; Enterobacterales; Enterobacteriaceae. The record is from RNAcentral.